Molecule: ribosomal RNA, 421 nt
Filed under: uncultured bacterium
Lineage: Bacteria
Description: partial 16S ribosomal RNA
Rfam family: Bacterial small subunit ribosomal RNA
Source: RNAcentral
AAUAUUGGACAAUGGGGGCAACCCUGAUCCAGCCAUGCCGCGUGUGUGAAGAAGGUCUUCGGAUUGUAAAGCACUUUAAGUUGGGAGGAAGGGCUUUAGGUUAAUACCCUGAAGUUUUGACGUUACCAACAGAAUAAGCACCGGCUACCUCUGUGCCAGCAGCCGCUGUAAUACAGAGGGGGCAAGCGGUAAUUGGAAUUAAUGGGCGUAAAGCGGGCGGAAGUGGUUCAGUAAGAUGGGUGUGAAAUCCCCGGGCUUAACCUGGGAACUGCUUUCAUAACUGCUGAGCUAGAGUACGGUAGAGGGUAGUGGAAUUUCCUGUGUAGCGGUGAAAUGCGUAGAUAUAGGAAGGAACACCAGUGGCGAAGGCGACUACCUGGACUGAUACUGACACUGAGGUGCGAAAGCGUGGGGAGCAAAC